UAGGAGCUUAGGCUCCCAAA
Molecule: small nuclear RNA, 20 nt
Filed under: Arabidopsis thaliana (thale cress)
Lineage: Eukaryota; Viridiplantae; Streptophyta; Magnoliopsida; Brassicales; Brassicaceae
Description: snRNA_00775
Source: RNAcentral